GCCCGGGUAGCCCAGCUGGCAGCGGCGACGCGCUCAGAUCGCGUUCAGUGCAGGUUCGAAUCCUGUCCCGGGUACC
Molecule: transfer RNA, 76 nt
Filed under: Catellatospora sp. TT07R-123
Lineage: Bacteria; Bacillati; Actinomycetota; Actinomycetes; Micromonosporales; Micromonosporaceae
Description: tRNA-Leu
Rfam family: tRNA
About the family: Transfer RNA (tRNA) molecules are approximately 80 nucleotides in length. Their secondary structure includes four short double-helical elements and three loops (D, anti-codon, and T loops). Further hydrogen bonds mediate the characteristic L-shaped molecular structure. tRNAs have two regions of fundamental functional importance: the anti-codon, which is responsible for specific mRNA codon recognition, and the 3' end, to which the tRNAs corresponding amino acid is attached (by aminoacyl-tRNA synthetases). tRNAs cope with the degeneracy of the genetic code in two manners: having more than one tRNA (with a specific anti-codon) for a particular amino acid; and 'wobble' base-pairing, i.e. permitting non-standard base-pairing at the 3rd anti-codon position.
Source: RNAcentral